AUGAUGUUCUACUAUUUAUAUUUCAGGGAAUUUUUUCUGGACAAAGGAAAGGACAAGCUAUAUAUUUGUGAACUUGAAGCAAGUUCCUAUUUUUAUAGCUAUGUGAAAGAAAAACAUUUAUUUUAUGGGAAAGGCAGUCAACAGUCUGCUUCUUCUAAACAAUGUGCAUGUUUUUUCACCCUUUUUUGUUUGUUUGUAAUACCACUGAUUGCAUGCAGCAGUUUGUUAGUACUAUUCCUUUCUCCGGGUGAAUUAUUGUAUUUUUCUUCAAAUGCAUGUUCCAGUAUAGUAUUUCUUUGUAUUCCAAAUGCACGGUUUUAUUCAAAUAAUUAG
This 333-nucleotide ribosomal RNA is filed under the name Triticum aestivum (bread wheat). RNAcentral's name for it is "partial small subunit ribosomal RNA". The record is from RNAcentral. Lineage: Eukaryota; Viridiplantae; Streptophyta; Magnoliopsida; Poales; Poaceae.